CCAUAAUCUCUUAGGGACCUACACUC
Molecule: non-coding RNA, 26 nt
Filed under: Mus musculus (house mouse)
Lineage: Eukaryota; Metazoa; Chordata; Mammalia; Rodentia; Muridae
Source: RNAcentral